This 283-nucleotide ribosomal RNA is filed under the name Salmonella enterica. RNAcentral's name for it is "partial 23S ribosomal RNA". It matches the Rfam family "Bacterial large subunit ribosomal RNA", at positions 2660 to 2925 of the family's 2925-position model. Lineage: Bacteria; Pseudomonadati; Pseudomonadota; Gammaproteobacteria; Enterobacterales; Enterobacteriaceae. The record is from RNAcentral.
GAUUGAGGGGGGCUGCUCCUAGUACGAGAGGACCGGAGUGGACGCAUCACUGGUGUUCGGGUUGUCAUGCCAAUGGCACUGCCCGGUAGCUAAAUGCGGAAGAGAUAAGUGCUGAAAGCAUCUAAGCACGAAACUUGCCCCGAGAUGAGUCUUCCCUGAGACUUAGAGUCUCCUGAAGGAACGUUGAAGACGACGACGUUGAUAGGCCGGGUGUGUAAGCGCAGCGAUGCGUUGAGCUAACCGGUACUAAUGAACCGUGAGGCUUAACCUUACAACGCCGAAG